UACGGAGGGUGCUAGCGUUGUUCGGAAUUACUGGGCGUAAAGCGCGCGUAGGCGGACCUGCAAGUCGGGGGUGAAAGCCCGAGGCUCAACCUCGGAACUGCCUUCGAUACUGCGGGUCUCGAGUCCGGGAGAGGUGAGUGGAAUUCCUAGUGUAGAGGUGAAAUUCGUAGAUAUUAGGAAGAACACCAGUGGCGAAGGCGGCUCACUGGACCGUUACUGACGCUGAGGCGCGAAAGCGUGGGGAGCGAACAGG
Molecule: ribosomal RNA, 253 nt
Filed under: uncultured bacterium
Lineage: Bacteria
Description: partial 16S ribosomal RNA
Rfam family: Bacterial small subunit ribosomal RNA
Source: RNAcentral